CCUUGCCUGCACCUGCUCCUUUAGCACCAAAGAGGAAACCAGUACUCUGCGCCCGCUAGCGCCCACCUGGUGCCCGCCUGGCCUUGGUCGUCAUGGCUCACGUCACGGGAACCUCACGAGGUGCCCCUCGCCUUGAUCUCUCCGCUCCUCGCGAGCCAGCCUAGUGAGGCUGCCCCUGAGGAGGUCUUGUGUCGUCCCCCUCGCGAGGCUUGGCCCCUCGCGAGGGUCUUGUGUGUUUGCUGAUGAAGAUUGGCCGUACCAGGCCGUUAGAGGAGCCACGCCCUGGGCUGUAGGCAGGCAAGCCUGGGUAGCCCGUUCCCAGGACGCCGACAGCUUUAAAGUAUGAGAUGCACACGCCAUGUAAUUGCUUUAAUUUAUCACUAUGCGUUAGCGAUAGUUGUAGAAGCAAUAGUUGGCCAGACGACCACGACGCUACGAUGGAGAUCAAGGUGUCAAGCCGGUGACGAUGGAGAUCAUGAUGGUGCUUUGGAGAUGGAGAUCAAAGCCACAAGAUGAUGAUGGCCAUAUCAUGUCACAUAUUUUGAUUGCAUGUGAUGUUUAUCUUUUAUGCAUCUUAUUUUGCUUAGUACGAUGGUAGCAUUAUAAGAUGAUCCCUUAACUAAAUUUCAAGGUAUAAGUGUUCUCCGUGAGUAUGCACGUUGCGAAAGUUCUUCGUGCUGAGACACCACGUGAUGAUCGGGUGUGAUAGGCUCUACGUUCACAUACAAUGGGGGCAAGACAGUUUUGCACAUGCAGAAUACUCGGGUUAAACUUGACGAGCCUAGCAUGUACAGACAUGGCCUCGGAACACUGGAGACCGAAAGGUCGAAUGUGAAUCAUAUAGUAGAUAUGAUCAAGAUAGAGAUGUUCACCAUUGAAGACUACUCCAUCUCACGUAAUGAUCGGACAUGGUUUAGUUGAUUUGGAUCACGUAUCAUUUAGAUGACUCGAGGGAUGUCAAUGUAAGUGGGAGUUCUUAAGUAAUAUGAUUAAUUGAACUUAAUUUAUCAUGAACUUAGUCCUGAUAGUAUUUGCAUAUCUAUGUUGUAGAUCAAUAGCUUGCGAUGUAGCUCCCAGUUUAUUUUUGGAUAUGUUCCUAGAGAAAAAUAAGUUGAAAGAUGAUAGUAGCAAAGAUGUGGACUAGGUCCGAGAUCUGAGGAUUAUCCUCAUUGCUGCACAGAAAAAUUAUGUCCUUGAUGCACCGCUAGGUGACAGACCUAUUGCAGGAGCAAAUGCAGACAUUAUGAAUGUUUGGCUAGCUCAAUAUGAUGACUACUUAAUAGUUUAGUGCGCCAUGCUUUACGGCUUAGAACCGGGACUUCAAAAAUGUUUUGAACGCCACGGAGCAUAUGAGAUGUUCCAAGAGCUGAAAUUGGUAUUUCAGACUCGUGCCCGUGCCGGGAGGUAUGAGACCUCUGACAAGUACUUUGCCUACAAGAUGGAGGAGAAUAGCUCAGCCAGUGAGCAUGUGCUCAGAAUGUCUGAAUACUACAAAUCACUUGAAUCAAGUGGGAGUUGAUCUUCUAGAUAAGAUAGUGAUUGACAGAGUUCUCUAGUCACUAUCACCAAGUUACUGGAACUUCGUGAUGAACUAUAAUAUGCAAGGGGUGACGAAAACGAUUCCUGAGCUCUUCGUGAUGCUGAAAUCGAUGAAGGUAGAAAUCAAGAAAGAGCAUCAAUUGUUGAUGGUUAACAAGACCACUAGUUUCAAGAAAAAGGGCAAUGGAUAGAAGGGGAACUUCAAGAAGAAUGGCAAGCAAGUUGCCACUCCCGGGAAGAAGCCCAAGUCUGGACCUAAGCCUGAAACUGACUGCUUCUACUGCAAAGGGAUUGGUCACUGGAAGCGGAACUGCCCCAAAUACUUGGCAGAUAAGAAGGAUGGCAAAGUGAACAAAGGUAUAUUUGAUAUACAUGUUAUUGAUGUGUACUUUACUAGUGUUCAUAGUAACCCCAGGGUAUUUGAUACCGGUUCAGUUGCUAAGAUUAGUAACUCGAAACAGGAGUUAUAGAUUGAACAGAGACUAGUUAAGGGCGAGGUGACGAUGUGUGUUGGAAGUGAUUCCAUGGUUGAUAAGAUCACCAUCGCACACUCCCUCUACCUUCGAGAUUAGUGUUGAACCUAAAUAAAUGUUAUUUGGUGUUUGCGUUGAGCAUGAAUAUGAUUGGAUCAUGUUUAUUGCAAUCCGGUUAUUCAUUUAAGUCAGAGAAUAAUUGUUGUUCUGUUUACAUGAAUAAAACCUUCUAUGGUCAUACACUCAAUGUAAAUGGUUUAUUGAAUCUCGAUCGUAGUGAUACACAUAUUCACAAUAUUGAUGCCAAAAGAUGCAAAGUUGAUAAUGAUAGUGCAGCGAAUUUGUGGCACUGCCGUUUAGGUCAUAUUGGUGUAAAGCACAUGAAGAAACUCCAUGCAGAUGGACUUUUGGAAUCACUUGAUGCUUGCGAACCAUGCCUCAUGGGCAAGAUGACUAAGACUCCGUUCUCCGGAACAAUGGAGCGAGCUACUGACUUAUUGGAAAUAAUACAUACGAAUGUAUGCGGUCCGAUGAGUGUUGAGGCUCGUGGCGGGUAUCGUUAUUUUCUGACCUUCACAGAUGAUUUGAGCACAUAUGGGUAUAUCUACUUAAUGAAACACAAGUCUGAAACAUUUGAGAAGUUCAAAGAAUUUUAGAGUGAAGUGGAGAAUCAUCAUAACAAGAAAAUAAAGUUUCUACGAUCUGAUCAUGGAGGCGAAUAUUUGAGUUAUGAGUUUGGCCUUCAUAAAAAAAUGUGGAAUAGUUUCACAACUCAUGCCACCUGGAACACCACAGCGUAAUGGUGUGUCCGAACGUCGUAACCGUACUUUAUUUGAUAUAGUGCGAUCUAUGAUGUCUCUUACCGAUUUACCACUAUCGUUUGGGGUUAUGCAUUAGAGAUAGUUGCAUUCACUUUAAAUAGGGCACCGUCUAAAUCCAUUGAGAUGACACCGUAUGAACUAUGGUUUGGCAAGAAACCUAAGUUGUCGUUUCUUAAAGUUUGGGGUUGUGAUGCUUAUGUGAAAAAGCUUCAGCCUGAUAAGCUCGAACCCAAAUCGGAGAAGUGCAUCUUCAUAGGAUACCCAAAAGAGACUGUUGGGUACACCUUCUAUCACAGAUCCGAAGGCAUGAUCUUUGUUGCUAAGAAUGUAUCCUUUCUAGAGAAGGAGUUUCUCUCGAAAGAAGUGAGUGGGAGGAAAGUAGAACUUGAUGAGGUAAUUGUACCUUCUCCCGAAUUGGAAAGUAGUUCAUCACAUAAACCAGUUCCAGUGAUUCCUACACCAAUUAGUGAGGAAGCUAAUGAUGAUGAUCAUGAAACUUCAAAUCAAGUUACUACUGAACCUCGUAGGUCAAUCAGAGUACGGUCCGCACCAGAGUGGUACGGUAAUCCUGUUCUGGAAGUCAUGUUACUAGACCAUGACGAGCCUACGAACUAUGAGGAAGCGAUGAUGAGCCCAGAUUCCGCGAAAUGGCUUGAGGCCAUGAAAUCUGAGAUGGGAUCCAUGUAUGAGAAAAAAGUAUGGACUUCGGUUGACUUGCCCGAUGAUCGGCAAGCCAUAGAGAAUAAAUGGAUCUUCAAGAAGAAGACUGACGCUGACGGCAAUGUUACUGUCUACAAAGCUCGACUUGUUGCGAAAGGUUUUCGACAAGUUCAAGGAGUUGACUAUGAUGAGACCUUCUCACCCGUAUCGAUGCUUAAGUCUGUCCGAAUCACGUUAGCAAUUGCCGCAUUUUAUGAAAUCUGGCAAAUGGAUAUCAAAACUGCAUUCCUUAAUGGAUUUAUUAAAGAAGAGUUGUAUAUGAUGCAACCAGAGGAUUUUGUCAAUCCUAAAGGUGUUAACGAAAUAUGCAAGCUCCAGCAAUCCAUCUAUGGACUGGUGCAAGCAUCUCGGAGUUGGAAUAUACGCUUUGAUGAGUUGAUCAAAGCAUAUAGUUUUAUACAGACUUGCGGUGAAGCCUGUAUUUACAAGAAAGUGAGUGGGAGCAUUACAGCCUUUCUGAUAAGUAUAUGUGAAUGACAUAUUGUUGAUCAGAAAUGAUGUAGAUUUUUCUGGAAAGCAUAAAGGAGUGUUUGAAAGGAGUUUUUCAAAGAAAGACCUCAGUGAAGCUGCUUACGUAUUGAGCAUCAAGAUCUAUAUAGAUAGAUCAAGACGCUUGAUAAGACUUUCGAUGAGUACAUACCUUGAUAAGUUUUUGAAAGAGUUCAAAAUGGAUCAGUCAGAGAAGGAGUUCUUGCCUGAGUUGUAAGGUAUGAAGUUGAGUAAGACUCAAAACCCGACCACGGCAGAAGAUAGAGAGAGAAUGAAAGUCAUUCCCUAUGCCUCAGCCAAAGGUUCUAUAAAGUAUGCCAUGCUGUGUAACAAACCUGUUGUGUACCAUGCCAUGAGUUUGACAAAGGGGUACGAUAGUGAUCCGGGAGUGGAUCACUGGACAGCCAUCAAAGUUAUCCUUAGUUACCUAAGAGGACUAAGGAAAUAUUUCUCGGUUAUGGAGGUGAUAAAGAGUUCGUGGUAAAGAGUACAUCGAUGCAAGCUUUUACACCGAUCCGGCUAACUCCGAGUCUCAAUCUGGAUACAUAUUGAAAGUGGGAGCAAUUAGCUAGAGUAGCUCCAUGCAGAGCAUUAUAGACAUAGAAAAUUUGCAAAAUACAUACGGCUCUGAAUGUGGCAGACCCGUUGACUAAACUUCUCUAACAAGCAAAACAUGAUCACACCUUAGUACUCUUUGGGUGUUAAUCACAUAGCGAUGUGAACUAGAUUAUUGACUCUAGUAAUCCCUUUGGGUGUUGGUCACAUGGUGAUGUGAACUAUUGGUGUUAAAUCACAUGACGAUGUGAACUAGAUUAUUGACUCUAGUGCAAGUAGGAGACUGAAGGAAAUAUGCCCUAGAGGCAAUAAUGUUGUUGUUAUUAAUAUUUCCUUAUAUCAUGAUAAAUAUCUAUUAUUCAUGCUAGAAUUGUAUUAACCGGGAACUUGAUACAUGUGUGGAUACAUAGACAAAACAGUGUCCCUAGUAAGCCUCUACUAGACUAGCUCGUUAAUCAAAGAUGGUUAAGUUUCCUAACCAUAGACAUGUGUUGUCAUUUGAUGAACAUGAUCACAUCAUUAGGAGAAUGAUGUGAUGGACAAGACCCAUCCAUUAGCUUAGCAUAAAUGAUCGUUAAGUUUUAUUGCUAUUGCUUUCUUCAUGACUUAUACAUGUUCCUUUGACUAUGAGAUUAUGCAACUCCCGAAUACCAGAGGAAUACCUUGUGUGCUAUCAAACAUCACAACAUAAAAGGGUGAUUAUAAAGAUGCUCUACAGGUAUCUCCGAAGGUGUUUUGUUGGGUUGGCAUAGAUCGAGAUUAGGAUUUGUCACUCCGAGUAUCGAAGAGGUAUCUCUGGGCCCUCUCGGUAAUGCACAUCAUCAUAAGCCUAGCAAGCAAUGUGACUAAUGAGUUAGUUAUGGGAUGAUGCAUUACAGAAUGAGUAAAGAGACUUGCCGGUAAUGAGAUUGAACUAGGUAUGAGGAUACCGACGAUCGAAUCUCGGGCAAGUAACAUACCGAUGACAAAGGGAAUAGCGUAUGUUGUCAUUACGGUUCGACCGAUAAAGAUCUUCAUAGAAUAUGUGGGAGCCAAUAUGAGCAUCCAAGUUCCGCUAUUGGUUAUUGACCGGAGAGGUGUCUCGGUCAUGUCUACAUAGUUCUCGAACCCGUAGGGUCCGCACACUUAACGUUUGAUGACGAUUUGUAUUAUGAGUUAUGUGUUUUGGUGACCGAAGAUUGUUCGGAGUCCCGGAUGAGAUCAUGGACAUGACGAGGAGUCUCGAAAUGGUCGAGAGAUAAAGAUUGAUAUAUUGGACGAUGGUAUUCGGAUAUCGGAAUGGUUCUGGAAUGUUUCGGGUAUUUUUCGGAGUACCGGGAGGUUACCGGAACCCCCCGGGAAAUUAAUGGGCCUACAUGGGCCAUAGGGGGAGAGAGAGGAGAGCCCGCAAGGGGUGGCGCCCCCCCAUGGGCUAUCCGAAUUGGACAAGGGGAAGGGGGCGCGGCCCCCCUUUCCUUUCCCCUCUCCCUCUCCUUCCCUUUCCCCCUCCGAAAGAAAGGAAAGGGGGCCGACUAGCACUAGGAGUCCCCCUAGGGCCGGCCUCCUCCCUCUCCUCCUUUAUGUAUGGGGGCAGGGGGCACCCAAAGCACAUCAAUUGUUCUCUUAGCCGUGUGCGGUGCCCCCUCCAUAGUUUACUCCUCCGGUCAUAUCGUCGUAGUGCUUAGGUGAAGCCCUGCGCGGAUCAUAUCACCAUCACCGUCACCAUGCCGUCGUGCUGACGAAACUCUCCCUCGACACUUUGCUGGAUCAAGAGUUCGAGGUACGUCAUUGAGCUGAAUGUGUGCAGAACUCGGAGGUGACGUACGUUCGGUGCUUGAUCGGUUGGAUCGCGAAGACGUUCGACUACAUCAACCGCGUUGAGCUAACGCUUCCGCUUUCGGUCUACGAGGGUACGUGGACACACUCUCCCCCUCUCGUUGCUAUGCAUCUCCUAGAUAGAUCUUGCGUGAUCGUAGGAAAUUUUUUGAAAUUGCAUGCUACGUUCCCCAACAGAGACCACCUCAAAGUUAUUCUUUCAGAUCAAUCCAUUGAGCUAUUCCUAUAAGUGUCACAAACAGCCCUAGAGUUCGUAGUAAAAUAACACCAUAUGACACACAUCAAUCAAACCUAAUGUCACCUAGAUACUCCAAUGUCACCACAAGUAUCCAUGGGUCAAUUGUACGAUAUGCAUCAAACAACUUUAGAUUCAUAAUAUUCAAUCCAACAUAAAGAACCUCAAAGAGUGCCCCAAGAUUCCUACCCAAGAAACAAGGAUGAAAACAUGCAUCAACCCCUAUGCAUAGAUUACCCUAAUGUCACCUCGGGAAUCCGCGAGUUGAGUGCCAAAACAUACAUCAAGUGAAUCAAUAGGAUACCCCAUUGUCACCACGGGUAUCCCACACAUGACAUACAUCAAGUGUUCUCAAAUCCAUAAUAGUAUUCAACCCGGUAAUAGUGAAACCUCAAAGGUAAAACUCAAUUCAUCACAAGAAGGUGGAGGGGGAGAAACACCAUAUGAUCCAACUAUAGUAACAAAGCUCGUGAUACAUCAAGAUCGUGCCAAAUCAAGAACACGAGAGAGAGAGAGAGAGAUCAAACACAUAGCUACUGGUACAUACCCUCAGCCCCGAGGGUGAACUACUCCCUCCUCGUCAUGUAGACUGCCGGGAUGAUGAAGAUGGCCACCGGUGAUGGUUUCGCCCUCCGGGAGGGUGCCGGAACAGGAUCCCGAUUGGUUUUUCGUGGCUAUAGAGGCUUACGGUGGCGGAACUCCCGAUCUAGGUUUCUUUCUGGGGGUUUCUGGAUUUAUAGGAAUUUUUGGCGUCGGUUUCAAGUCAGGGGGUCCACGAGUGAGCGACAAGGUAGGGGCGCGCCCUAGGGGGGUGGGCACGCCCUCCACCCUUGUCAUUGACUCGGAACUCUUCUCGCCCAACUAUUUUGCUCCGGGGGCUUCUUCUGGUCCAUAAAAAAUCACCGUAAAUUUUCAGCUCAUUUAAUUGGACUCCGUUUGAUAUUCCUUUUUUGCGAAACUUAAAAACAAGGAAAAAACAAAAACUGGCACUGGGCUCUAGGUUAACAGGUUAGUCCCAAAAAUAAUAGUAUAAAAUAGCAUAUAAAAAAUCCAAGAUGGAUAAUAUAAUAGCAUGGAACAAUAAAAAAUUAUAGAUACGUUGGAGACGUAUCAAGCAUCCCCAAGCUUAAUUCCUGCUCGUCAUCGAGUAGGUAAAUGAUAAAAACAGAAUUUUUGAUGUGGAAUGCUACCUAACAUAUUUAUCCAUGUAAUUUUUCUUUAUUUUGGCAAGAAUGUUCAUAUCCAUAAGAUUCAAAAAAAGUUUAAUAUUGACAUAAAAACAAUAAUACUUCAAGCAUACUAACAAGGCAAUUAUGUCUUCUCAAAAUAACAUGGCCAAAGAAAGCUUAUCCCUACAAAAUCAUAUAGUCUGGCUAUGCUCCAUCUUCAUUACACAAAAUAUUCAAAUCAUGCACAACCCCGAUGACAAGCCAAGCAAUUGUUUCAUACUUUUGAUGUUCUCGAACCUUUUCAACUUUCACGCAAUACAUGAGCGUGAGCCAUGGACAUAGCACUAUAGGUGGAAUAGAAUAUGGUGGUUGUGGAGAAGACAAAAAGUAGGAGAUAGUCUCACAUCAACUAGGCGUAUCAAUGGGCUAUAGAGAUGCCCAUCAAUAGAUAUCAAUGUGAGUGAGUAGCGAUUGCCAUGCAACGGAUGCACUAGAGCUAUAUGUUUAUGAAAGCUCAAAAAGAAACUAAGUGGGUGUGCAUCCAACUCACUUGCCCACGAAGACCUAGGGCAAUUUGAGGAAGCCCAUCAUUGGAAUAUACAAGCCAAGUUCUAUAAUGAAAAAUUCCCACUAGUAUAUGAAAGUGAUAACAUAUGAGACUCCCUAUCAUGAAUUUCAUGGUGCUACUUUGAAGCACAAGUGUGGUAAAAGGAUAGUAACAUUGCCCCUUCUCUCUUUUCUCUCAUUUUUCUGGGCCUUCUCUCUUUUUCUGCCUCUUUUUUUCAUCCGGAGUCUUAUCCCGACUUGUGGGGGAAUCAUAAUCUCCAUCAUCCUUUCCUCACAAGGGACAAUUGAUAACCCACAAGUAUAGGGGAUCAAUUGUAGCCUCUUUAGAUAAGUAAGAGUGUCGAACCCAAUGAGGAGCUAAAGGUAGAACAAAUAUUCCCUCAAGUUCUAUCGACCACCGAUACAACUCUACGCACGCUUAACGUUCGCUUUACCUAGAACAAGUAUGAAACUAGAAGUACUUUGUAGGUGUAACGGGAUAGGUUUGCAAGAAUAUGAAGAGCACGUAAAUAAAAACUAUGGGCUGUUUAGGUAAAGAAGCAAUAAAGUUAGUAUAGCGAGUGUGGAAAAGUGGUGGUAGGAGUUGUGAAAUUGUCCCUAAGAAAUUGACUAUGUUACUAGAUCGAUAGCAAGUUUUAUGUGGGAGAGGCCACUGCUAGCAUGUCAUUCCUGACUUGGAAUUCUAUGCACUUAUGAUUGGAACUAUUAGCAAGCAUCCGCAACUACUAACAUUCAUUAAGGUAAAACCCAACCAUAGCAUUAAGAUAGAUUGGUCCCCCUUCAAUCCCGUAUGCAUCAAUUUCUAUGCUAGGUUGAAGCUUCUGUCACUCUUGCCCUCCAAUACAUAGUCCUAUCAACAUACAAACCCUAUGGUGUGAUCCACGCGCGCGCUCAUAUGAUGGGCACCAAAGGACAGCAACAUAACCACAAGCAAAUUAAACCAAUCAUAGCAAUUCACCAAUUACCGAUAGGACAACGAAAAUCUACUCAGACAUCAUAGGAUGGCAACACAUCAUUGGAUAAUAAUAUGAAGCAUAAAGCACCAUGUUCAAGUAGAGGGUACAACGGGUUGCGGGAGAGUGGACCGCUGUAGAUAGAUGGGGGAAGGUGAUGAAGAUGUUGGUGAAGAUGACGGAGGUGUUGGUGUAGAUCGUCGUCGCACGAUGAUGGCCCCGUCGGCGUUCCGGCGCCACCGGGAGAGAGGGGGAGAGGGGGCCCCCUUCUUCUUCCUUGACCUUCUCCCUAGAUGGGAGAAGGGUUUCCCCUCUGGUCCUUGGUUUCCAUGGCAUGGGAGGGGCGAGAGCCCCUCCGAGAUUGGAUCUGUCUCUCUGUCUCUCUCUAUUUCUGCGCUCCCUGAUUCUGCCCUUUCACCAUUUCUUAUAUUCGCAGAGAUCCGUAACUCCGAUUGGGCUGAAAUUUGGAUACGAUUUUUAUCCGGAUAUUGGCUUUCUUGCGGCGAAAGAAGGGCACCAACCGCCUUACGGAGUGGCCACGAGGGCGCAGGGCGCACCCCUCACCCUCGUGGGCCCCUCGGGCAUCGUCUCGCGUUGAUUCCACUUCCAAAAAUUCACAUAUAUUCCAAAAAAAUCUCUGUCAGUUUUUAUCCCGUUUGGACUCCGUUUGAUAUGGAUUUUCUGCGAAACAAAAAACAUGCAACAAACAGGAACUGGCACUGGGCACUAGAUCAAUAUUUUAGUCCCAAAAAUAGUAUAAAAAGUUGCCAAAAGUAUGUAAAAGUUGUAGAAUAUUGGCAUGGAACAAUAAAAAAUUAUAGAUACGACGGAGACGUAUCAGCAUCCCCAAGCUUAAUUCCUGCUCGUCCUCGAGUAGGUAAAUGAUAAAAAGAUAAUUUUUGAUGUGGAAUGCUACCUAGCAUAAUUUUGAUCAUGUAAUAUAAUCAUGGCAUGAAUAUUAAGACACGAGUGAUUCAAAGCAAUAGUCUAUCAUUUGACAUUAAGACAAUAAUCCUUCAAGCAUACUAACCAAGCAAUUAUAUCCUCUCAAAGUAACAUAGCCAAAGAAAGCUCAUCCCUACAAAAUCAUAUAGUUUGGCCAUGCUUCAUUUUCGUCACACAAAAUGCUCUCAUCAUGCACAACCCUGAUGACAAGCCAAGCAAUUGUUUCAUACUUUAGUAUUCUCAAACUUUUUCAACUUUCACGCAAUACAUGAGCGCGAGCCAUGGACAUAGCACUAUGGGUGGAAUAGAAUAUGAUGAUGGAGGUUGUGUGGAGAAGACAAAAAGGGAGAAAGUCUCACGUCGACGCGGCUAAUCAACGGGCUAUGGAGAUGCCCAUCAAUUGAUGUCAAUGCGAGGAGUAGGGAUUGCCAUGCAACGGAUGCACUAGAGCUAUAAAUGUAUGAAAGCUCAACAAAAGAAACUAAGUGGGUGUGCAUCCAACUUGCUUGCUCAUGAAGACCUAGGGCAUUUGAGGAAGCCCAUCUAGGAAUAUACAAGCCAAGUUCUAUAAUGAAAAUUCCCACUAGUAUAUGAAAGUGAUAACUCAAGAGACUCUCUAUAUGAAGAACAUGGUGCUACUCUGAAGCACAAGUGUUGUAAAAGGACAGUAACAUUGCCCCUUCUUUCUUUUUCUCUCAUUUUUUUUGUUUUUUUGUUUUGGUGGGCUUCUUUGGCCUCUCUUUUUUAUCUGGGCUUCUUUGGCCUCUUUUAUUUUUUUAAAGUAUGGAGUCUCAUCCCGACUUGUGGGGGAAUCAUAGUCUCCAUCAUCCUUUCCUCACCGGGGCAAUGCUCUAAUAAUGAUGAUCAUCACACUUUUAUUUACUUACAACUCAAUAUUACAACUCGAUGUCUAAAACAAAGUAUGACUCUAUAUGAAUGCCUCUGGCAGUGUACCAGGAUGUGCAAUGAUCUAGCAUAGCAAAGAUAUCAAAAAACGGACAAGCCAUGCAAAUAUCAUGCCAGCUAUCUUACGAUCAUGCAAAGCAAUAUGACAAUGAUGCUCAAGUCAUGUAUAUGAAGAUGAUGGAAGUUGCAUGGCAAUAUAUCUCGGAAUGGCUAUGGAAAUGCCAUAAUAGGUAGGUAUGGUGGCUGUUUUGAGGAAGAUAUAAGGAGGCUUAUGUGUGAUAGAGCGUAUCAUAUCACGGGGUUUGGAUGCACCGGCGAAGUUUGCACCAACUCUCGAGGUGAGAAAGGGCAAUGCACGGUACCGAAGAGGCUAGCAAUGAUGGAAGGGUGAGAGUGCUUAUAAUCCAUAGACUCAACAUUAGUCAUAAAGAACUCACAUACUUAUUGCAAAAAUCUACAAGUCAUCAAAACCAAGCACUACGCACAUGCUCCUAGGGGGAUAGAUUGGUAGGAAAAGACCAUCGCUCGUCCCCGACCGCCACUCAUAAGGAAGGCAAUCAAAGGAACACCUCAUGCUUCAAAUUUGUCACACAACGGUUACCAUACGUGCAUGCUACGGGACUUGCAAACCUCAACACAAGUAUUUCUCAAUUUCACAAUUACUCAACUAGCACGACUCUAAUAUCACCACCUUUAUAUGGCAAAACUAUUGCAAGGAAUCAAACAUAUCAUAUUCAGUGAUUUACAAGUUUUAUGCAGGAUUUUAUGACUAACCAUGUGAAUGACCAAUUCCUGUCAUCUCUCUAAAUAGAUAUAAGUGAAGCAAGAGAGUUUAAUUCUUUCUACAAAAGAUAUUCCCACGCUCUAACAAAUAUAAGUGAAGCAAAAUAGCAUUCUACAAAUGGCGGUUUUCUAUGUGAAGAGAAACAGGCAAUCCGAACUUCAAAUGAUAUAAGUGAAGCACAUGAAGCCUUCUAUAAAGCCAUACUCAAAAAAAUUUAAGUGAAGUGCAAUGAGCAUUCUAUAGAUCAACCAAGGACUAUCUCAUACCAGCAUGGUGCAUAAAAUAAAAGUGAAAACUAAAUGCAAAAGGCGCUCCAAGAUUUGCACAUAUCACAUGAACGAAACGAAUCUGAAAACAUACCGAUACUUGUUGAAGAAAGAUGGGAUGCCUUCCGGGGCAUCCCCAAGCUUAGACGCUUGAGUCUCCUUGAAUAUUUACUUGGGGUGACUUGGGCAUCCCCAAUCUUGAGCUCUUGCCUCUCCUUCUUCUCCUCACAUCGAGACAUCCUCGAUCUUCGAACACUUCAUCCACACAAAACUCAAUAGAAAGUUCGGUAAGAUCCGUUAGUAUAAUAAAGCAAAUCACUACUCUAAGUACUGUUGCAAACCAAAUCAUAUUUUGUUUUUGCAUUGUAGCUACUGUAAUAUAACUUUUCCAUGGCUUAAUACACUGAUAGAAAUCGAUAGUUUCAUCAAAACAAGCAAACUAUGCAUCAAAAAAUAGAAUUUGUCUUAAACAUGACAGUCUGUAGUAAUCUGAACAUUCACCAUACUUCUGGUACUCCAACAAUUCUCAAACAAUUAGGAAAAAUAAAAAAUUUGUAUAGAAAGACAGUGCAAAAAGUUUCAGAACCGUUUGACGUUCCAGUAAAAAAUGUAAAAUCGCGCACUACGCCAAAGUUUCUGUUUUGCACCGCACAAACCAACAAGCAAUGUAAACAUCCUAAAGGCAAAUCUUGGCACAUUAUUUUUAUAAUACAAUGGAAUUGUACAAGGGGAUAAUUAUUUUUGUUGAAAAGUUUCUGUAAUCAAGAUUCACAAAGUUUCUGUGAGCACGAACAAAGUUCAAGGAGCUCCCCCACUUCAACAAUGCUUGUCUCUCUCACUUUCACUUUCCUUUUUGAAAAGUUUUGGGUUCCCCUCUAUAUUUUUUUGUUUUUAAACUUCAUAAAAGCACUCAACAGAAAUAAACGACUCUCUAAUACUUCCGAGUUGUCUCCCUGGCAGCGCUUUCUUUAAAGCCAUUAAGCUAGGCAUAAAGUGCUCAAGUAAUGAAUCCACCCGGAUCCCAAGGUAUAUCAAAGCCAAUUUUAAUUAACAAUGAUUUGGCAUUUAGUAGUGAGCACAAAGCAACAUAUAUCAAGCAAUGACGAAGUCUAACUCUCUUCCUAUGCAUCGGCAUGUCAUACAAGAACAAUUCAUGCACAUCAAGUAAAGGCCAAUACAUAGCAUAAGAAGUUUCUUGCAAUUUUUUCGUGUUGGAAACAUAGAGAGGCGGAGAUGUAGUUCCUCUCUCAUAAUAAUUGCAGGUAGAAGCAGCAAGCACAUGCAUAUUAUAUUCAUCAAAAUUAUCAUGUGCAACGGUAAAAGGCAACCCAUCAAUAUAAUCCUUAAUAAGGGCAAACUUCUACGAUAUAGUGUAGUCGGGAGAAUUCAAAAAGAUAAUAGGACUAUCAUGCGUGGGUGCAAUAGCAACAAUUUCAUGUUUAACAUAAGGAACUAUAGCAAGUUCAUAUCCAUAUGCAUAAUUCAUAUUGGCAUCUUGGCCACAAGCAUAGCAAGCAUAAUCAAAAAGGGAUAUUUCAAAAGAAUCAACGGGAUCAUAACAAUCAUCAUAGCAAUCAUCCUUCGGUAAGCACGAAGGGAAAUUAAACAAUGUAUGAGUUGAAGAGUUACUCUCAUUAGAAGGUGGGCAUGGGUAGCUAAUCCGCUCUUCCUCCUUUUGUUCUUCUCUCUCCUCAUCAUCUUUUUCAUCCAAUGAGCCCACAGUUUCAUCAAUUCCUUCUUCCAUAGACUCCUGCAAAAUAUUAGUCUCUUCUUGGACAGCGGAGGAGUCCUCAAUAUAUGAUUUAACAUAGGCAUUAGAAGCAUAAUUAUCAUAGCAAUAUUUAAGUAUGGCAAAAUUUUCAGAUUUGUAAAGAGUAGCAUCAUACGUUUCAAUCAAAGAAGCAAUUUCAUAAGCACCCUUAAAAGCAACAAAUUCUUCAAUUUGUUGAACAUCAUAGUAAUUAUAAACACCCUUAGCAUACGAAGAUACGAUUCCAUUAUCACUAAACUCACAUUGGUAGGGUAGGUGUUUCUUAGGGUUUUCAGAACAACAAGUAACAUCAUAUAUUUCACAUAAAUUCCAAGCAUAGCAUUGCAAACGAUGAAUUUGAUCCAGUAAAAGUUUCCCUUUUCAGAUAUGCGGUGUCGCACAUAACAAGCAUGCUCAUCUAAAGAUUUGCCCUCAACUAAACUAGUUGGGGUUUCAGCACGAGCACAAAGGGAUCGAAUAUGAUCCAAGUAAAAAGCUUCAGGAGUGUGAUAGAUUUUGAGUGGUUCUUCAACCAUUGGUGUAGUAGGUACAACUAAUUUUUUGGUAUUUUGCGUUUCCUACCCAUAACUAAAGAUAGAAAACAAGAGCACAAAAUAAAAACUACUUAGUGAUAAAGCAAACAAGCACACACGAGAAUAUUCACCCCAUGCUAUAACUCCCCGGCAACGGCGUCAAAAAAAGGUCUUCAUAACCCACAAGUAUAGGGGAUCAAUUGUAGCCUCUUUCGAUAAGUAAGAGUGUCGAACCCAACGAGGAGCUAAAGGUAGAACAAAUAUUUCCUCAAGUUCUAUUGACCACCGAUACAACUCUACGGACGCUUAACGUUCGCUUUACCUAGAACAAGUAUGAAACUAGAAGUACUUUGUCGGUGUAACGGGAUAGGUUUGCAAGAAUAUAAAGAGCACGUAAAUAAAAACUAGGGGCUGUUUAGGUAAAGAAGCAAUAAAGUUAGUAUAGCGAGUGUGGAAAAGUGGUGGUAGGAGUUGUGAAAUUGUCCCUAAGCAAUUGACUAUGUUACUAGACCGAUAGCAAGUUUUAUGUGGGAGAGGCCACUGCUAGCAUGUCAGCCCUGACUUGGAAUUCUAUGCACUUAUGAUUGGAACUAUUAGCAAGCAUCCACAACUACUAACAUUCAUUAAGGUAAAACCCAACCAUAGCAUUAAGAUAGAUUGGUCCCCCUUCAAUCCCGUAUGCAUCAAUUUCUAUGCUAGGUUGAAGCUUCUGUCACUCUUGCCCUCCAAUACAUAGUCCUAUCAACAUACAAACCAUAUGGUGUGAUCCACGCGCGCGCUCAUAUGAUGGGCACCAAAGGACAACAACAUAACCACAAGCAAAUUAAACCAAUCAUAGCAAUUCACCAAUUACCGAUAGGACAACGAAAAUCUACUCGAACAUCAUAGGAUGGCAACACAUCAUUGGAUAAUAAUAUGAAGCAUAAAGCACCAUGUUCAAGUAGAGGGUACAGCGGGUUGCGGGAGAGUGGACCGCUGUCGAUAGAUGGGGGAAGGUGAUGAAGAUGUUGGUGAAGAUGACGGAGGUGUUGGUGUAGAUCGCCGUCGCACGAUGAUGGCCCCGGCGGUGUUCUGGCGCCACCGAGAGAGAGGGGGAGAGGGCCCCCCUUAUUCUUCUUCUUCCUUGACCUUCUCCCUAGAUGGGAGAAGGGUUUCCCCUCUGGUCCUUGGCUUCCAUGGCAUGGGAGGGGCGAGAGCCCCUCCGAGAUUGGAUCUGUCUCUCUGUCUCUCUCUGUUUCUGCGCUCCCUGAUUCUGCCCUUUCACCGUUUCUUAUAUUCCCGGAGAUCCGUAACUCCGAUUGGGCUGAAAUUUGGACAUGAUUUUUAUCCGGAUAUUGGCUUUCUUGCGGCGAAAGAAGGGCACCAACCGCGUUAGAGAGUGGCCACGAGGGCCCAGGGCGCGCCCCUCACCCUCGUGGGCCCCUCGGGCAUCGUCCGCGUUGAUUCCACUUCCCAAAAUUCACAUAUAUUCCAAAAAAAUCUCCGUCAGUUUUUACCCCGUUUGGACUCCGUUUGAUAUGGAUUUUCUGCGAAACAAAAAACAUGCAACAAACAGGAACUGGCACUCGGCACUGGAUCAAUAUGUUAGUCCCAAAAAUAGUAUAAAAAGUUGCCAAAAGUAUGUAAAAGUUGUAGAAUAUUGGCAUGGAACAAUAAAAAAUUAUAGAUACGACGGAGACGUAUCAACAAUGCUCUAAUAAUAAAGAUCAUCACACUUUUAUUUACUUACAACUCAAGAAUUACAACUCAAUACUUAGAACAAAAUAUGACUCUAAAUGAAUGCCUCCGGUGGUGUACCGGGAUGUGCAAUGAAUCAAGAGUGACAUGUAUAAAAGAAUUAUGAAUGGUGGCUUUGCCACCAAUACUAUGUCAACUCAACUACAUGAUCAUGCAAAGCAAUAUGACAAUGAUGAAACGUGUCAUAAUAAACGGAACGGUGGAAAGUUGCAUGGCAAUAUAUCUCGGAAUGGCUAUGGAAAUGCCAUAAUAGGUAGGUAUGGUGGCUGUUUUGAGGAAGGUAUAUGGUGGGUGUAUGGUACCGGCGAAAGUUGCGCGGCACUAGAGAGGCUAGCAAUGGUGGAAGGGCGAGAGUGCGUAUAAUCCAUGGACUCAACAUUAGUCAUAAAUAACUCACAUACUUCUUGCAAAAAUCUAUUAGUGAUUGAAACAAAGUACUACACGCAUGCUCCUAGGGAGGUAGAUUGGUAGGAAAAGACCAUCGCUCGUCCCCGGCCGCCACUCAUAAGGAAGACAAUCAAUAAAUAAAUCAUGCUCCAACUUCGUUACAUAACGGUUCACCAUACGUGCAUGCUACGGGAAUCACAAACCUCAACACAAGUAUUUCUACAAUCCACAAUUAAUCACUAGCAUGACUCUAAUAUCACCAUCCUCAUAUCUCAAAACAAUCAUAAGGAAUCAAACUUCUCAUAGUAUUCAAUGCACUUUAUAUGAAAGUUUUUAUUAUAUCCCUCUUGGAUGCCCAUCAUAUUAGGACUAAAUUCAUAACCUAAGCGAAUUACCAUGCUAUUUAGAGAGACUCUCAAAAUAAUAUAAGUGAAGCAUGAGAGUUCAUCAAUUUCUUCAAAAUAAAGCCACCGCCGUGCUCUAAAAAGAUAUAAGUGAAGCACUAGAGCAAAUGACAAACUACUCCAAAUGAUAUAAGUGAAGAUCAAUGAGUAGUCGAAUAAUUCUGUAACUAUGUGAAGACUCUCUAACAUUUAAAAAGUUCAGAUCUUGGUAUCUUAUUCAAACAACAAGCAAAUACUAAUAAAAUGAAAUUACAUCGCAAGGAUAGCACAUAUCAUGUGAAGAAGCAAAAACUUAGGCUCAACCAAAACUGACCGAUAGUUGUUGAAGAAGAAAGGUGGGAUGCCUACCGGGGCAUCCCCAAGCUUAGAUGCUUGAGACUUCUUGAAAUAUUAAUUAGGGAUGCCUUGGGCAUCCCCAAGAUUGAGCUUUUGUGUCUCCUUAAUUCUUCUCAUAUCACGGUUUCCCUAAAUCUCAAAAACUUCAUACACACAAAACUCAACAAGAACUCGUGAGAUAAGUUAGUAUAAAUCCAUGCAAAACCUUAUCAUUCUCCACUGUAGAAAAUCACUAAAAUUAUAAUUUGACAUUGCAUACUAAAUGCCUUCGCAUAUUUAAUACUCCCAUCCUCAAAUAGAACCAUUGAACAUGCAAACAUAUGCAAACAAUGCAAUCAUAACAACAAUCUGUCUAAACAGGACAGUCUGUAAAGAAUGCAAGGGGAAUCAUACUUCCCUAACUCCAAAAAUUCUGAAAAAUUACCACACUGUAUAAUUUUUUUUGUUACUCAUUGUGUAAAAAUUUCAAGAUUUUAUCAUGUUCUGACUAUUCACCAAUAUUCAAAACAUAACAACAAACUUUCUGUUUUCAAACAGCAACAUAUAGACUUGCAAAAUAAGCAUGGUAAAGGCUAUACUUGACAUUUUGUUGAACUAAAAGAUAGAAAACAUGUCUCUGAAUAACAGCAAGCAAAUAUAAACAGAAGAAAAUGAUGCUCCAAGCAAAACACAUAUCAUGUGGUGAAUAAAAAUAUAGCCUCAAGUAAGGUUACCGAUGAUCAAAGACGAAAGAGGGGAUGCCAUCUGGGGCAUCCCCAAGCUUAGUUGAUUGGUUGUCCUUGAAUAUUACCUUUGGGUGCCUUGGGCAUCCCCAAGCUUAGGCUCUUGGCACUCCUUAUUCCGUAGUCCAUCGAAACUUCACCCAAAACUUGAAAACUUCACAACAGAAAAUCAUAUGAGAUCCGUUAGUAUAAGAAAAUAAAUCACCACUUAGGUACUGUUAUGAACUCAUUCUAAAUUCAUAUUGGUGUUAUGUCUACUUUAUUCCCACUUCUCCAUUGUUCGUACCCUCCGAUACUACUCAUAAAUUCAUCAAAAUAAGCAAACAACACAUAGAAAACAGAAUCUGUUUAAAACAGAACAGUCUGUAGUAAUCUGGAAACUCUCCAUACCUCUGUAACUCCAAAAAUUCUGAAAAAAUAGGACAACAUAGAAAAUUUGUAUACCAAUCAUGUGUAAAAAAUUCAGAUCAAAAUCAUGUUCCAGUGAAUUUUUAAAAUUCCUGGACUGGGAGCAAAAGUUUUUGUUUUUGCACAGAAUCAAGUCAACUAUCAUCCACACUAUCCCAAAGGCUUUACUUGGCACUUUAUUGAAACAAAAGCAAUAAAACAUGAUUACUACAGUAGCAUAAUCAUGUGAACACACAAAAACAGUAGGGGUAAAUAUUGGGUUGUCUCCCAACAAGCGCUUUUCUUUAAUGCCUUUCUAGCUAGGCAUGAUGAUUUCAAUGAUGCUCACAUAAAAGAUAAGAAUUGAGACACAAAGGGAGCAUCAUGAAGCAUAUGGCUAGCACAUUUAAGCCUAACCCAUUUCCUAUGCAUAGGGAUUUUGUGAGCAAACAACUUGUGGGAACAAGAAUCAACUAGCAUAGGAAGGUAAAAGAAGCAAAACUUCAAAACUUUCAACACAUAGAGAGUAAACUUGAUAUUAUUGCAAUAUGUAAGAGCACAUGUUCCUCUCUCAUAGUAAUUUUUAGUGGCAUCAUGAAUGAAUUCAACAAUAUAGCUAUCACAUAAAGCAUUCUUUUCAUGAUCCAUAAGCAUAGAAAUUUUAUUACUCUCCACAUAAGCAAAAUUAUUCUCAUUCGGAAUAGUAGUGGGAGCAAAUUCAACAAAAUAACUAUCAUGUGAGGCAUAAUCCAAUUGAAAAUUAAAAUCAUGAUGACAAGUUUCAUGGUUAGAAUUAUUCUUUAUAGCAUACAUGUCAUCACAAUAAUCAUCAUAGAUAGCAACUUUGUUCUCAUAAUCAAUUGGAACCUCUUCCAAAAUAGUGGAUUCAUCACUAAAUAAAGUCAUGACCUCUCCAAAUCCACUUUUAUAAUUAUAACAAUAAGAUUCAACACCCUCCAAAAUAGUGGGAUCAUUAUUUCCUAGAGUUGACACUCUUCCAAACCCACUUUCAUCAAUAUAAUCAUCAUAAAUAGGGGGCAUGCUUUCAUCAUAGUAAAUUUGCUCAUCAAAACUUGGGGGGCUAAAAAUAUCAUCUUCAUCAAACAUAGCAUCCCCAAGCUUGUAGCUUUGCACAUCAUUAGCAUCAUGGAUAUUCAAAGAAUUCAUAGUAACAACAUUGCAAUCAUGCUCAUCAUUCAAAUAAUUAGUGCCAAACAUUUUAUUGACUUCUUCCUCUAACACUUGAGCACAAUUAUCCUUUCCAUCAUUUUCAUGGAAGACAUUAAAAAGAUGAAGCAUAUGAGGCAACCUCAAUUCAUUUUUUGUAGUUUUCUUUUAUAAACUAUACUAGUUAUAAAACAAGAACUAAAAGAUUCAAUUGCAAGAUCUAAAGAUAUAUCUUCAAGCACUCACCUCCCCGGCAACGGCGUGAGAAAAGAGCUUCGUUGAUGGGAUGUGAGUGCCGCUUACCUAGCCUCCCCGGGAACGGCGCCAAAAAAGAGCUUGAUGUCUACUACGCAACCUUUCUUCUUGUAGACUCGUGUUGGGCCUCAAAGCGCAGAGUUUUGUAGGACAGUAGCAAAUUUCUCUCAAGUGGAUGACCUAAGGUUUAUCAAUCCGUGGGAGGCGUAGGAUGAAGAUGGUCUCUCUCAAACAACCCUGCAACCAAAUAACAAAGAGUCUCUUGUGUCCCCAACACACCCAAUACAAUGGUAAAUUGUAUAGGUGCACUAGUUCAGCGAAGAGAUGGUGAUACAGGCGUAAUAUGGAUGGUAGAAAUAUAUUUUUAUAAUCUGAAUAAAUAAAAACAACAAGGUAACAAGUGAUAAAAGUGAGCGAAAACGGUAUUGCAAUGCUUGGAAACAAGGCAUAGGGUUCACACUUUCACUAGUGCAAGUUCUCUCAACAAUGAUAACAUAAUUAGAUCAUAUGGCAAUCCCUCAAUGUGCGACAAAGAGUCACUCCAAAGUUCCUAUCGCGGAGAACAUAAGAUGAAAUUUCUUGUAGGGUACGAAACCACCUCAAAGUUAUUCUUUCUGAUCAAUCCAUUGAGCUAUUCCUAUAAGUGUCACAAACAACCCUAAAGUUCGUAGUAAAAUAACACCAUAUGACACACAUCAAUCAACCCUAAUGUCACCUAGAUACUCCAAUGUCACCACAAGUAUCCGUGGGUCAAUUAUACGAUAUGCAUCAAACAACUUCAGAUUCAUAAUAUUCAAUCCAACAUAAAGAACCUCAAAGAGUGCCCCAAGAUUCCUACCGGAGAAAUAAGGACGAAAACGUGCAUUAACCCCUAUGCAUAGAUUACCCCAAUGUCACCUCAGGAAUCCGCGAGUUGAGUGCCAAAACAUACAUCAAGUGAAUCAAUAGAAUACACAUUGUCACCACGGGUAUCCCACGCAAGAUAUAUAUCAAGUGUUCUCAAAUCCAUAAUAGUAUUCAAUCCGAUAAUAGUGAAACCUCAAAGGUAAAACUCAGUUCAUCACAAGAAGGUCGAGGGGGAGAAACACCAUAUGAUCCAACUAUAGUAACAAAGCUCGCGAUACAUCAAGAUCAUGCCAAAUCAAGAACACGAGAGAGAGAGAGAGAUCAAACACAUAGCUACUGGUACAUACCCUCAGCACCGAGGGUGAACUACUCCCUCCUCGUCAUGGAGACCGCCGGGAUGAUGAAGAUGGCCACCUGUGAUGGUUUCCCCCUCCGGUAGGGUGCUGGAACGGGCCCCCGAUUGGUUUUUCGUGGCUAUAGAGGCUUACGGCGGCGGAACUCCGGAUCUAGGUUUCUUUCUGGGGGUUUAUGGAUUUAUAGGAAUUUUUGGCGUCGAUUUCAAGUCAGGGGGGCCACGAGUCAGCGACAAGGUAGGAGGCGCGCCCUAGGGGGGGUGGGCGCGCCCUCCACCCUUGGCGUUGACUCGAGACUCUUCUGGCCUAACUCUUUUGCUUCGGGGGCUUCUUCUGGUCCAUAAAAAAUCACCGUAAAUUUUCAGCUCAUUUAAUUGGACUCCAUUUGAUAUUCCUUUUCCGCGAAACUUAAAAACAAGGAAAAAACAGAAACUGGCACUGGGCUCUAGGUUAAUAGUUAGUCCCAAAAAUAAUAUAAAAUAUCAUAUAAGUGCAUAUACAACAUCCAAAGAUGGAUAAUAUAAUAGCAUGGAACAAUCAAAAAUUAUAGAUUGGACGCGUCGGCCAUGGCUCUAGGCGGGAGGGUUUUGGGUGAGGAAUGGUGGAAGUGGAGAUGGUGUGCCACCGACCGGCGAGCCAGGGGAGGUCAAGGGGAGAACGUCAUGGGCGUGCACGACGUGUCCGGGUGGACGCAAACCCGACCCAAAUAUGGGCCGGAAAUGGCUUAAAGCGGACAUGAAAACGGACCCUUCCGUUUGCAUUGGCGAAUUGGGUCGUGCUUUUUGUCUGGACGCAAACGAACGCGGGUGGACGAAAUGCGAUGCCUCAUUGGAGUUACCCUUAGCCCUCGGCCUAUUUUUGAUUUACAUGAUUUGUAAAACACAGGAAUAGAUAAAACAGAGGAAUAUAGUGGCAUGUCAUCCUCAAUUCUAUAGGAUUAGCAUGAGCGUUUGAUAUGCGCAUGAAAAACGUAGGAUUCUUCAUAUGAGGUUGGAGUCGAUGAAAAUUUUCCUAUAAAAACUAGUACAAGUGAAUCCUAUAAAAAAUCCCAUGGAUAACAACCCUAUGAUGAAUCAAACAACCCAUAGAGGAAAAAAAUCUUAAAGAUCAGAAUCCUUCAAAAUUCUUUUAGAGAUCUUUUGAACCAAAAGAAGACCUAGGGCCUUCCACGACGUUAUCGAUGCCAUAUCACCAUUAAUGCCCAAGAAAAAAGUUAUGACACCAGCUUCACAGUGGAGGGCACCACAUGGUGUAAAAUAAGGAAUAAACAAGUUCAUUGAUCUAGCUACCGGCGGCUUCCAGCCAGCUUUGAAGAGUUUAGCAUUGGAGCAAGUCUCCGAUGCCCAGAUUUUUUUUUUUUGACUUCGGCUGAGCAACAUAGGUCAUCGGUGCCAAAAAGGCUGAAAAGUGAAUUUGGCACCUCUUUUGACCUACGGUUUGCCAAAAAAAAAGUAGUAACAAUUGGCUUUUAUGCCAUGGACACCAUCACCGACCGUCCAAACAUAAUCUGACGCUUCAGCAGAAAACCGCAAAAUUCUCUUCUUCCUCGGUUCGGUUCCGGCGCUCUCGUUGCUCUCCUCCGGUUCCUCGCCACUCCCUUUGCCGGGGCUGCCAACCCUCCGGCCAUCCGCACCUCGCCGCCGCUCGGCUCUCACCACCAUCCGCCCACCUCUGCUCCCGUAUCUCUUUAUCUACGCGCGGAGCUACACCACAUUGGAGAGCAUACCAUAACCCUAGCUAGGGUGAUAGACCUCCGGAUGGAGGCCGCCGCCUCCAGCCUCUCGUCGCUGCUCGUCAGCCUCCGCGUGGACGGCCCCUGGACGCCGCCUGCAGCCUGGGAUUCCAUCGCCCCCGAGAGCGCGUCCGCCGGUGUUCCUGACCCUGCAGGGCGUCCCUCUCGGGAUCCAAUCUACGAGCUCACCUCCGUUCCUGUGAGUGAAAUAUCUGAACCCAGCUAAAUUCAGCAUUAUGUUACGACCCGCUGUGGCUACUAAACCAAAACUACUUGUGGGAGUUGCGACAUUCAUAGGGAGAAAUUUUGAGUGCAGUCUGCAGUGCCCUUCAGCAGAAAAAGCGAGAGGACGCAAGUUAAAACAAGUUGCUCCGGUUGGGGAUUGGGGCCAGAAUAAGUAGGCAGGUAGGUAUGUAGGCAGAUUGCUGUGAAAUAGGGUUACUCGAAAUGGCUACUGAGUGUGGGUAGUGAAGUGUGGGAAGUUUUGAAUUAUCUGUUCUGGGAUCCUGAAAUGUGGUAUUGAUAGGUGUGAAAUGUUUUGACAAUCUUCAAACUAAGUUUUAAUCUGAUGCAGUAAGUUAGGUGCGAAUUGCUAAAGAUGUGAUGAUUAUUAGUGAUGACAUCUCAUAACCUGAAUAGAUUUUUGGGAAGCGAUUAUAGAUGUGUGUGUGUUACAUCUUCUGGGUAGUGCCAUUCUAUUUCGUACUAAAACCACGACACUUAUUUUGGACUGAGGGAGUAUUAUAUUGCUGAUGGGUGUGAGGAUCAUCUUUAUUCUGCAGGAUGCUGCUUUGGUUCGUUUGGCUUUGCAUGCACUGCAUGGUGUCAAAUCAUCGCUAGAUGAGAUUGACGAGCUUUCUGUGUUGUUCUCCUCAAGUCCGGCAGACAGGACAUCUCAUCGCAUUGCAAAUGUGUGGUCACGGUCAUCUAGCACUGCCUCUAUAGGACAUAUUCUCAAUUCUAUAGGCUCUACAGGUCUUGCAGUUUUCUUCCUGCGCAAGUUUGUGCACUAUUAUCUUUUCCAAAGUCGAGAAGUAAAUUGUGGAAAUAGAGAAGGACAUGGACAUGAUGUUUCUGAUGACAAAGAUACUGAGCAUUCUCCUCCUUAUAGUCUAGUGAACCAAGCAUUUGCUGCAGCAGUUGAAAAAGUUCUAGAAGGCUAUUUCUGUUCCUUGAAUACUUUACCACCUUCAAUUAAGCUGAGGCGGUCAGUGGGACAACCUGAUAGACCUUCCAUGACCUCAGAUAGAGCUAGUUGUAAUUCUAGCUCUGAAAUCACUCUUCUGGAAGUUUAUCUCCACACCGAGGAGUUGAGAAGGCAUAUUAAGUCCCUUGGAAAUAUUUGUUUUCCUAAGUUUGCAGGUCUUGCAUUAUGCCAGGAGGGUUUGACUACUGAUUCUAACUUGGAGUUUGAGAAUUUUCCGCGGGGCACUGAUUUGCUUUCUUAUUUGUAUGUCCGCCUUCGUGUAAGCAAUCAUCUUAUUGUUUAAAUCCUACUAUUCGGUUUAACUCAAUUUAAGCAAUCGUCUUAUUGUUUAAAACCUACUAUUCGGUUUAACUCAAUUUAAUAAACUUUUAAAGGGAUUUCCUAUUGUCCGCUACUUUGUAUCUAUAUUUUAUCUUGCCAAUGUCUUUGGUUUGCAUGCUCAAUAGCAAGAUCUAAGCUUUACGUAUGAUACUGAACAUUUCAGACUUACCAAUGCCUUGUUUGAAACGGCCAUGGAAUUUUAGGUCAUAUUUGCUGUAAUUAUCCAGAAAAGGAACUUUUUGAGAGGGAAUCUAUUCAAGUUUUGGAAAUGUUAUCAAAUAAAAUUUCCUUUCAAGUGAUUCUUUGCUGCUUUUUAUUUAUCUAAGUUUUUUGGUAAUAAUCGCCCUGAAGUGUUGCCAACUUUUCAUACUCAUUGUUCUAGAAAAUAGCUGGCAGAGAUAUUGGUAGCAAUUUCUGUCCUCCAUGAGAAGCAAAUAAGCAAUGCAAGAUUUAGGAUGGUGUGAUAGCCCCUCCCAUAUUUACUUAAUAAAAUUUAAUGACACUGUGGAACUUACCGCUUCAUUUUUUUGUUGAUAUUCUCUGUUCUAUAGACAAUGCAUUUACUCUCUUGUUUGUAUGGUGCUAUGAGCCCUGGGCUAUGUUUAGUUUCAUAUUCUACGUAGCCGAGCAUCUUAUUUCUCUUAUGCUUUAUAUGUGUACGCAGUUGCUUACUUGGUCUCUGCUGGGAUGGGUUAAUUUCUUUGACAUUUCUUUGUAACAUGGCAAUCAACGCCACAGUUUUGUAGAUUACCAGCUACCACAAGAUCAUGCUAGUUUUUCUUUAUCUGAUGGCAUAAAUUUGUGCUUCUGUACUGAAAGUUUCUGUUUGGACAUAUCCUUCUGUUCACGUUCUACAUAUGACAAAGGUUUUGAAAUGUCCAAUGAUUUCCCUUCAAUUGUAGGAUGCUGAUCCAGUUCACUAUGCUCUUUUGAAAUAUCUCUUCAUUCGUUCGUGUGAACCAUACUGUAACUUCAUUAAGUUAUGGAUUUACCGAGCUAGUGUUGACGACCCUUAUGAAGAAUUUCUCAUAACACAAACCGAGAACAGCCAGAUUCAAGGAGGUUCGUUGGGCCCACUAGGUGUCACUGCAUUGCCCUUCAAGGUAAGACAUCACUUCUUGUCUUUGUGAAGCUUCAAGGAAAAACGCCUAAACGGUCAUUAUUGACCUAAUUUAUUCUCAACAUCAGAAAUUCAGAUAUAUGCUCCACUCUUCACAUAAACCCAUGCAUUUGAACCAUGAAAAUGUUAUUCCUUUUCCAGUAGAUCUAAUUAAGUUUUUAUCAUGUAUCGCUGCCAACAGGGAAGUAAUCAUGUAUCUGUUCCAUGUUUUCUGAAAGAUAUAUGCAAUCCUCUUUUACGCACUGGGCAGCAGCUUCAAGUGCUCAUGAAGGUUGUAAAGUCAUGCAAUCUUUGUUCUACUGGAGGAGAUAAUUACGACGCUAGUAAAACUAUCCUUCUGGAGGAAAUUCUCCCAUGGUUUGGUACGCCAAUUGAGUGCUCAGUGAAUUCAUUUACUUUCUCAAAAAGCAAGGCUGAUGCAGUAAUAUGUCAGAGAGACGCUAUGUACAAGUCAAUGCUAGAGAAGCUCCAUCAUUAUUUCUUAAAUAUUGAGGUCUGGUUAGCACUCUAAUUUUAGUUCCAGAAUUAACUAGUCUGUUUUUCGCCCUUGCCAAAGCAACAGUACUAAUAUACUGGGUCAACUAUGCUUUUAAAUCACACUUUAUGACAUGAUGUUUCAGAUAAUUCCUUUUGGUCCUCCGUCAAACUCCCUGCAUAAAAGUAAAAGCCCUCUAGACACAUCAGUUUCAGAUGUGGAGCUAUUGUAUGGCGGCAUCCAUGCUCUACCAACUUGUGAUAUGUACGUCCUGGAUCUACCUUUGUAGCAAUGUUAAAUCUGCCACUCUCAUUCACUUCUUCUGUAUUUUAUUGUGCAUACUCUCUUUUUACUCAUGCGAGCAGUGUACAUCAUAAGUCUUCACCACAACAGAUUAGUCUGAUCUGUCCUUUCUCACAGUAUGUCUGCAGAUGAAAAAGACAAUGAUGCUUAUUCAACAUCGCAAGAAUCUUCAGAUAAACUAGAUCCUCUGGAAUCUUCAGAAUGCUCUUCUUCUUAUAGUUCUAUGGAUGAAAUUGAGGUUGAGAGUGGCAUCACUUGUGGUAAUUUGUCUAGUUCCAGGUUUUCGUUGUACCAUGCAAGUACAGGUGAAGCAAAAUGCUCCUCAGAAACCCAAAAUGUGCUUUCACAUCAAACUAGUUCUCGUCACAACGGGACAAACUCUUCAAGCCCUAAUGAUGAGGACCAUAGAAAUGUUGAUUUGGGUUGCAGCAACGUUCCCAUGCACUCGCAGAAUGUGGAACAUAAUGUGAUGCCUGAUGCUCUAGAACUGGAUUACCAGUAUAGUAAAUUUUGGCCAUUUGGCAAAUUUCCAAAGAACACAUUUAAUAGUUCCCCUGGAAAAAUGUGUUUAGUUGAUGAGUUUCUGUAUACGGACAAUGAAAGUGCAGUGGAGCAAGUAUCACAUGAUGAUGUAGUUUAUCCAUCACACACAGAUAAGUCUUGCAAGAUAAAUCAUUCAUGGAAUUCUAGCAUUUCUUACAAUCUCAGCACCAAUCCCAUUCUGAAGAAUGCGGCUGGUCAUCAUAUGGAGAGUGACUUGCGAGGAAAAUGGAAAAAUCAAGCACUUGAAAGCUUUGCUUUCGAGUCAGUCACAAAUCCAUGUGAAGUAUACUGUGAAAGAAGUACGUCCCUUGUGGAGUCUGAAGCCGGAGCUACAAAGGUUGUACAUUCCACUGCUCAGAAACAGCCUGAUUGUUCCAGCGAGCUUCUUCAAGCUAAGACAGGGAGUCAGGGAUACCUUGCUUCAUCAGGAGAAACGGAAGCAAGUGAUAAUCUUCCAAAAUAUGUCUGCGGGGGAGCAUUAUGGGAGAAAUUGUUAGAAUAUACUGCUAAAUCAACAGAAAAGAUAGCUGGAGAUAGUAGUUCAGCAUCUGAUAUGCCACUUGAUAUAGCUAUUGACAAGUGCAUUAUACAAGAAGUUCUGCUUCAGUAUCCUUAAUUGUAUAUGCUUGUACAGUGCAGUUCAUAAUGUCAGAUUGAUCAUAAUGCCUCUUGUUCAUUCUACUAUUACUAUCAGCAUAACAUCAUAGACUAUUUCACGAACGCCAAUUUGUGAUGUACUGUCUUUUAAAUGCCUUUUUUUUGUGUCAAACUUAGUCCAUCUGUCAUGUAUUAGGUUCAUCAACUGCUUUUACAAGUAAAAAACCAUCUUGUUGGGGAAAAAAUAAAUCUGAUCCAGGCUAUGAUUCUAAAGCUUAUAAACCACUAAAGUUGUUGGCCAGUAUUUUUCUUUCUACCUGUUAUUCCCUAACUGUAAUAAAAGAUAUAAAUAUGUUAGCAGCUUCACAAUGAAGUUGCUUGAGGAGGGUUUUGAUCUUUGUGGACAUCUACUAGCACUACGACGGUACCAUUUCAUGGAACUAGCUGACUGGGCAGAAUCUUUUAUUGUUUCCAUUUAUCAUAAGGUAAUUUUAUCCAACUGUUUUUUUUUAGCCUGUACGCCAUGCACUCAUGUUUAUAUGCACAAAUCUGUUAAGUCUGACUUCCCCCCAUGCAGAAAUGGUUCUCUGUUAAGUCUGAGCAGAAAAGAGCAGAGAUCCAAGGGCUUCUUGACUUGGCCUUGCAGAGGUCUUCAUGUGAUACCGAUCCUUAUAAGGAAAAACUGUUUAUAUACAUGAAAGAACAGCCAGUCAUUUCUGUGGCAGCCUCUGAACAAGGUAAUAAUUUGAUCUUGUCCUUGACUAUAGUUUUUAGAACUGAAGGUUUGUUUCUCAAAUUAUUAACGGCCCAACUUUUGGCGGCCAGGUUUCCACAUGCUGGAUGACUUCUUGCUGGGUUAUAAAGUUGAUUGGCCAGUGAAUAUUGUCAUUACAGAGGAGGCACUUAGGAGAUAUGCUGAAAUAUUCUGUUAUCUUGUUCAAGUCAGGUUUGCAGUCUUUUCACUGACUGAAGUAUGGCGGUUUCUAAAGGUGAUUCCUUUAUCGAUGUCUUAAUUCAUUGAAAUGUACAUGCCAUGUAAGCUUCUGUUAUUAUCUGUAUGUAUGGCAAAACCCACAAGGCUGCAGCUGGAGGCAAUUAGGCAAGAGAAAAUAAAUAAAUAAAUAAGCACUACACAGAAAUUUAAGGGGUCGUCAUUGUUAGUUCGCAUCAAUCGGGGGACAGAGAGUUCUCAGACCCAACCCAGAUGUAGGAUCUAUUUGAAACUGAACAAGUUUGUGGAGUGCCCUUUGUUCACAUACAAAAUUACCGUCGAGUGAUUUUUACUAAAUUUUCUUCAAGAGAAGUUACAAGAAUAUUUUUCUGUCAACAAAUGUGAAUAUCCAUAAUUGUGGUGACGUGGGACUUAUUUGCUGCUAUGUGACUAUAAUAUGGUAAUUUAUUGUAGGAGUUGACACAGUUAAUCAGUCGCUCUGGCCGCAGUAGACCUGAUAUAUUGAAAAAAUUAAACUCUGUGAUGAAAGUGAGGUACGCACAUACAAAACCUUUCCAAAGCUUUGUGGCAUUCAAAUAUUCCACUGAAGUGUUAAGAACAUAAUGUCUGAUUUGUUUCGAGUAUUUGAAUGUUUGAUCUGUUGGUAAAUCUUGUUAUUCUAAAAAUAUCUCGAAAUGCAAUACAUGUUGGCAUAUCCAAGUCAUAAUAAAAGUAACUGUUGCAUUCAUGUUUGAUUAUUCAUUCAGUGGUUUUCUAGUAUUAGAUAACCAUAGCCAAAUAGAUAGUGGUUGAUGGUCAGGAAAGUAGUCCCUUAAACCUGCUAUAAAUAUGACAUUUGUAAUUGCCACAUUUAUCAAAACAAAAUCGUUAAUUUUAUCUUUUUUGUACUGCCGACUCAUUAGUCACUGCAAAAUUGUCCUGUUUCUACCAAACAACAUUCCAAAAAGUAGAAUUAGUCAGAUGUAAUUCAAGUUACAUCAUGUACUGUUGAAAACAUUGCUGGAGGGUUGAACCUUUUAAUCUUCUGAGAAAAAUAUUGUCAUUUUGGAUGGUUAAAUUAUUGAUUUGCAAUUGCACAGACCAACGUCCAUAUUAUCUAAAAUAGCAUCCUCCAUUUUUAUGCGGAAGCAUAAUGAAUUAUCUCAAUGUUCUCAUGUAUAGUUGCUUCUACUAUGCGAAUGCCUUCUGUUCCUCUACUCUUGACUUAUGUGUCCUUAUUUUAUUGGUUUGUUUCUUGACAUAACUAUCCUUUCUUUUAUCAGACAUCAAGUUUACCAUUUUCUAUCAACAUUACAGCAGUACCACCAUUGCAAUUUGUCUGAUAUAUCAUGGCGUCGUUUUCAACAUUCCCUUAAACAUCAGGUAUAAUAUAUUUGUUGGCAUAGUAGUUAUGUUACUUACAUUCAAAGAGGAUGAAAAUAUACCUUUUUAAACAUCAUGAGUUUAUUAUCUAUUAACGUAUUACCUCUUUUGAGAUAAUGAUCUUACUUGGAUUGAGCUUUUCUGGGUGGCUGCGCGUAUACUGAUCUCAACUAUUCUGUAGGUUAAAGAUAUGCGGGAUAUCGAGUAUGUGCAUUUGUGUUAUGUUACAGACGCACUUCACAUGUAAGGCCUUUACCCACAAAAAUGAAACUAGUUUUCAUUUUACUACAUGUAUAUAGGCAAUUUAUGCAGCUGUUUUUUUUUUAAUUGUGGUUCAUGCCAUGAACUAGUGUGAUUUAUUGCAAUGAGCAUAAUAAAGAUAAUUAUUAGACUACUUUCUGUUUUGUCCUGUCACAAACUCACAUUUGGCUGUUCAAUUGAGUAUCUAAUUCUUCCAAGUAGGAUAGAAAGCAAGGGAAUCUGGUACUUCUGACAUUAUCUCUUAGCUGCCAAGAGAACUUCGUUUAUCCCAUUUACUUGGUGUCUAUACUUCCUGAGUAUCAUCUCUUUUGCUAAUUCUGUACUGACUAUAAUAUUGGAUUUUUUCUUGUGUUAUAUUACGUUUGCUUCUAACUGCAUGGUGUUUUUUUUCCAGAUGUUUCUUAUCCAAUGAGACAAAACCAGUUGCCACCAUAAUCAAAAGCAUGCUUCAACAAGCUUUGGAGUUCCGGUCAUGCUUUAAGAGUCUUAAUGACCUUUCCGAAUCAACAGUUAAUCAGCUUAAUCUGCAUUCUCUUAUAAACUUCUCUCAGGUAUUCUCUUGAUUUCACAUGGACAAAGUUGUCUGGAAGUAUUACAUUGUGUCUUCUGGGUUUAUUCUUUCAACUCCAGCAUGCACAUAAAAGAUCUUUACUGAUCUGAUAAUCAUUAUUGAUUAUUCUCCCUAAGAACGAUGUAUGUAUCAUAGUUCUGGGAACAAAUAAUCUAUGGUUGAGUAGGUCUGUCUUUAGCUCCCUGUCUGACUAUCCGGAAAAUCCUGAUAUAAUCCAUUGAGUUUGAUUCUAAUUGUAAACGCCAGAAACCCUCUCAAAGUUAUGGUAGUAUACUGGGUGCUUCCCCUUUCCUUUUUCCUUUUCCUUUUUGGAGCUUAAACUGUUAAUUGUGCCCGAACCAAACACCAUAGAUGAAGAUUGGUCACACUAAAGGGAUAUUCUGUCACAUUGUGAAUAGUUGGUAAUUGAUGGAGCAGAAACCCGUCAGUACCCUCGGUAGGGUGGCGAACAUGGCCGGAAGUACCAGAUCAGAGGUCGCACGAAGAGUUUACCUAGGUUUGCGCCUCCGGGUGUUUGUAUUCAUGGUGGGAUACCUCGUGCGAGGGUUACAAUGAGGGAUGAAGUAUGAGUCUACCGAGAGUAUGGUUCUACGGAUGUAGAUGGGCCUUGCUACCCCCAGCCCCCACCUUAUAUAGAUGACAGGGGAUAGGGUUUUACAGGAGAUCAAUCUGAUCUAAGCCGCCACCACCUUGACUUGCUUGCCAAGGUAGUCUUUUGCCGCCUCUCCGGGCUCCGAGGGUCCCUCCUGUGGUUAGGUCUUCACCUAUCUUUGUGGGCCUUGAGACGGGCCUGUUGUCGGGCUCCCCACCAGAGGAGAGGUUGAACGUGGCGGCACCUUUGUUGCGGCGGAUGACCCGAGCUCUUGUCCAUGUGUCGGGGUUGAUGUGGAACCCGGACACAAUGGAGUGGACGUUCGCCCGCGGCCUCUGAUUGAGCUCGUGAACGGAGCACCUAAUUGUGCUGCAGGAGUUUGCUGCUUUCGAAGGAGCUCGGCCCAUUCUUGCGCAACUAAAGGUGCAUCGCCCCGAUAUUUCCACGGAGGUCGUCGCCACUUUGAUUCCCGAGAUUGUCAGUUAUUCGACUUAUUUGAGGAAGGGAGGGAGGCCUCCAUUAUGGUGGCGGCGGACUGCGACCUGGAUGUAGGCUUGGAGUAGCUUGAAAAAGAUGUAGUGGUCGUUGCGGCUUGGGUGAUGCCCAUCAUAGACAAACUUAUUCAUGUGAUGCAUACCUGAAUCAGUUUCUUGUCCUUUAACAGUUUUAUUUGGAGAUCAAGUGUGUUAUACUGCCUGAGGCCUCUUUGUUUUUGAUCGGGGAAUGACGCGACCAGAGGUUAUUCAGCCUCCGUCUUCCCUCGGCUAUGCCCUUUUUAUAAGGAUUACCAAAUCGUUUUCUUACGUCGAUGCAGCCCCGUGUUGGUGGCACUAGGAGGUCGGCAAGGGCCAAUCAGCCCUCGGGUCCAGACUAAUAGAAGGAAUGCAUGAUGCAGCCUCUGUGCAGACCGUGGGGAGGUCCACGAUGCUAGUACAACCCCCGAGCCUGGCAAGCAGAGAGAUACGUUUGUUUCUACCUCUAGGUCUAUCCCAUUGUGUUCGUUGUAUUAACAAUUGAAAUAGCAAAUCACCAUGGGAACCUAGAAUGAUUCCUUUAUUCAGCAGUUUAUUUGGAUCGAGCUAAAACAAGGGGGCUAAAAACAUAAAAAAUGCUUAUGCUUGCUAAAGAGUAACUUAAUAAAAAAGACGUAGUUGGGCAGCGUUCCAUGGACGCUUCGUGAUCCGGCUUGUCUUGCGGUUGAGGAGGUAGUAAGCCCCAUCGCUAAGGGCUUCGUGAAUGAUGUAAAGCUCUUCCCAUGGGGAGGAGAGCUUGUUCUUUCGUGGCUUCUGCUUAAGGUGGAGGAUGAGUCGCCGCCGUUGAACUCGUACGCUCGGACAUGCCUUCCAUUGUAUUGGUGUAGUUUUUGCUGUAGACGGUUGUGCGUUCGAGGGCAAUGAGCCGAGCUUCUUCCUUGGUGUCGAUGUCGUCUUUCUUGAAUUCUUCCAUGGCCUCCUUGUACACACAGACAUGUGGUUAUUCGUACUCUUAUGUUGGAAGGGAGUAUCACCUCGGCCCCGUAGACCAUAAAGAAUGGUGUGUCCAAUUGAUCUGUUUGGAGUUGUCCGUAAUCUCCAUAGGACGGAUGAGAGCUCAUCAACCCAUUUUCCCUUUGCUUGGACCAAAGGGGUAAUGAGGCGGAGCUUCAGACCUUGCAUGAUUAACCAAUUGGUGCACUCCACCUGCUUGUUGGACUGUGGGUGUGAAACCGAGUAAUCGAUUUGGAUCCUCCGGUUGCGACAGAAUUCUUUGAAUGUGUAUUGUGAAAUUGGAGCCAUUAUCGGUGAUGUCGUGGGGGACUUCAAAUCUGUGGAUUAUACCAAAGGUGAAUUUAUUGCUGUGUCAGCCUCCGCAUUGGUGACGGGCUUGGCUUCUAUCCACUUUGUGAAUUUGUCGACGGUGACUAGAACUUGAAACAGCCUGGCGUUGUGGCGAGGGGCCCGACCAUAUCAAGCCCCCAACGAUGGAAGAUGCCUGUGACACUGUACUUGUACAACUCUCCUUGGAUGACUGUGUAUGCCUUGGACCUGCAAACAAUGCACCGGACUUCUUUUUUGUCUUCGGGUAGGUCCUGUUUAUCAAGUAUGCGAGGAGCGACCGAGUCCAGGUCGGGGUGACCACGAGAGUUUCUUCCGCGAGUUCCCCUUCUCCAGCCUCAUUUUCUGCGUCCGCAGGCUUUGGUCCACCGGAGGUCGGAGUCUUCUGCGAUUUCUCGUAGCUGCACAAAUGGCUUGUGUAGGACCUCUAGGAAUGCCUCAGCCGGGACUAGUUUUUGGGCUGCCCCCAUGCGUGCCAAGUUGUCAGCUGCCACGUUGUCAGUAUGCUUGGCGUGGUGUAGUUCGGUGCCAUCGAAUUUUCCUUCUAGUACAUAGACGACAGCACAGUAUGCGACCAUCUUUGGGCCUUUGGUGUCGAAUGUCUUCAUCACCGUUGAGCGAUGAGGUUGGAGUCACCACGGCAGAUGAGGUGACAGAUGCCAUGGAGGCCGCAAUGCGAAGCUCGUGGAGGAGGGCUUCGUAUUCUGCCCCGUUGUUGGAGUUGGGGAAAUGUAUCUGUAGGUCGUAGUUCAUCCUAUCACCGCACGGUGAGAUCAGGACGAUGUCGGCCCCCAAUCCUUGGAUGACCAUAGAACCAUGUUCGAUAGCGGGGCAUGACUGACAACCGUGAUGGGAUUUGCCUGGAAGUAGUGACGUAGCUUGCGGCCGCCAUGAACACGCCAUACAUGAUCCUCUGAUAAUGUGGGUAGCGGGUCUUGCAUGGUGUCAGCACUUCACUAACGUAGUAUACGGGAUGCAGAACCCGAUGUCUCUACUGCUAUAACUACACUGACUACCUGUGUGGUUGCUGAUAUAUAUAUAUAGCGGAUCAGACUGCAACAGCCAACGCAACCAAAAGUCCGAACUGAUGGAAAGGGCUAGUGCAAUCCACAUAUACUAUAACAGCUGAUAUAUAGCGGAUCGGGCUGCAACAGGGAGGCCAGCUGCGGGUUGGAUUGCAGGAGACGCUUGAGGUCGACGAAUGCGGCCUUUGGUUUGUUGCUCUAGUAGAACUUGUCAUUCUUCUGUAAGAGCCGGUAAAGCGGAAGUGCUUUCUCCCUGAGCUGGGAGAUGAACCGACUGAGGGCUGCAACGCACUCGGCGAGCUUCUGGACUUCCCAGAUCUUUUCUAGGGGCUUCAAGUUGAUGAUGGCUUGUAUCUUCUCCGGUUUGGCCUUGAUUCCUCGUUGAGCGACAUGAAGCCGAGUUGUCCCGAGGGUACCCUGAAAACACAUUUUCAGGGUGCUUUAUGCUGAAGCCCCGUAGGUUGGUGAAUGUCUGCUCGAGGUUGGAGAGAAGGCUGGAGCCAUGUCUUGACUUGAUGACUACAUUGUCGACGUAUGCCUCGACGUUGACGCUGAUCUGGUCGUGAGGACACUUUCGCAUGGUUCGUUGAUACGUUGCACCGGCGUUCUUGAGCCCGAAGGGCAUGGUGAUGUAGGAGAAGGGCCCGAAAGGUGUAAUGAAGGAGGUCUUCUCCUGGUUGGACUCCUUCAUGCGUAUUUGGUGGUAGCCGGAGUAGGCGUCCAGGAAGCACAGAACUUUGCAGCCCGCGGUUGAGUCUAUGACUUGGUUGAUGCGGGGUAAAGGGAAUGGGUCCGUUGAGCAUGCUUUGUUGAGGUCGGUGUAGUCAACGCAGGCAAGCCUCUCUGGGUGCGUGACUUCUCUGAUGAACCUGGCGGCUAGGAGCCGAGCGAUCUCUUUGCUGAUGGCUCGCCGUUUCUCUGUGGUGAAGCGGUGGAGGGCUUGUUUGACUGGUCUGGCGUCCUUUCGGACGUCGAAGCUGUGUUGUGCGAUCUUUGUGGGAAACCCGGGCAUAUCUGCGGGUUUCCAAGCAAAGAUGUCCCAGUUGCUCAGGAGGAAUUGCAGGAGUUCGGCUUUCUGUUCCUUUGACAUGUCUUCUCUGAUAAUCAUCAAUUUCUUCAAAUCUUCUGGGUGCACUUGGAAUUUUUUGGUUUCCUUUGUCGGCUAGUACGCGGGCCCUGACCUGGGUUUGGUUGGGAGCGUUUUUGUAGAUGUGUCGACGAACUUCAUGAUGUGCUCGAGCUCCGCUAAGGCCAGCGCUUCCUCGGCGAGCUCUACGUUGACGACCUUCGUUUGGAGUGCCCUCUCGGGUCUGUCAUGUAUCGUGAUCGUGCCAUUGGGACCUCGACAUCUUGAGCUAGAGGUACGCAUGGGUGGGCAGUGCCAUAAACUUUACGUAGGCCAUCCUGCCGAGGAUCACGCUGUAGUCGGUUUGGAACGGGGGGACCUCAAACUGGAUCGUUUCUUAUUUGUAAUUUUUCUCUUCCUCGAAGACGACCUCUAGAUUGAGCCGUUCGAGGGGGCGCACCGGCCCACCCGGUACGAAGUCGCGGAAGCCGGUGAGCGAGGGCUACAAGCUGUGCUGGGAAAGACCCCCGUCUUGGCCAGCGUGUCGGGGAGGAUGAUGUUUACGCUACUGCCACCGCCCAUCAGAAGUUCAGAACCCAUGGGAGGCCGAAGCCCUUGAUGAUCGGAUUUACCACCAAAGCAAACUUGCCAGGAUGGGGAACGUAGGCCGGAUGGUCGGUGCAGCUGGAGGCUAUUGUGGUGCCUGACCACUCUAGGAGGUCGUCGGGGUUGGUGUGGCCUAGAAGAUCAUGUUGACGCUGAUUGUUUGGGUGGGCUGGUGGGUUGGUGAAGAUCCAGCAGCCCCGAGACAGGUCGAGAUCGAUGCCUCCUUUUUUGCCAGUGGUGAUGAAGGGGCAUUGACGCAUGUGGUGUUGCCGUGUUCCUCGAACACGAACUCAAUGUUCCCGAAACAGUUGUAGUUCACGAAGGGGUGAGGCGUUACGUCAUAAAGCAGCCCCUGAUUGUCAACCUUGAGGUCGAAGGAGCCGAAGAUGAAGGUCUGGCCCGGCAUGAAGUCUUCGGGCAUGUAUAAUGAUCCGAUAUGGGUUCGUUCUCCGACCAGCGUAGCCCGUGCCUCGCGCGGCAACUGACGGAGCAGAAACCCCUCAGUACCCUCGGUAGGGUGGCGAACAUGGGCGUAAGUACCAGAUUGGAGGUCGCACGAAGAGUUUACCCAGGUUCGGGCCUCCGAGAAGGAGUAAGAUCAACUCCAACGCAGGACCCCAAAUGGUCUGGCCGUGCCCGUUUGGGGCUAAACGGACAGAAAUCGCGGCCCAACGCGCGGGAGCAAAUGGACAAAUGUCCGUUUUUUGUCCGCUUUCAACCCAUUCUUGGCCCAAAUUUGGGCCGCGUUUGCAUCGAAUGGACAGCCCGCGGGCGGGCGGGACGCUCACCCUUGUCCUCCCCUGGCCCACCUGUCGGGGACACAACCCCUUUUCUCUUCCCCUCCCCCCGCCAUCGCCGUCGCCACACAUUUUUCUGGCCGCCCAAACCACGACCACCCCUUGCCAUAGCCGCCCCAUGCCUGUGUUUCGAAGGAGUUUUUGCCGGCGUUUUUGGCCCUUUGUCGCCUCAUCCGGUACUAGGGAAGCUACGGCCGCUGGCGACGCCCAUUGACCCCAACACCUUCCGGCAGGCGCUGCAUAGCCGCCGGCUGCCAUCGCCAACCUUGCCUGCUGCCUGUGAGGGGAGCCCGGCCGCAUCUCCACCAUGACCGCAAGGUGUUCGAGACUUUGCUCACAAGGUACCAUGGAUAGUGGGGACGAGUAUUUUUUUUCACAACUUCAUUUUGUUCAUCGGAUGACGAAGAGCUUGUGGUGGCUGCUUUGGUCGUCAAUGACCACAUUUCUCGGCAGCGGCCUCGGUUCAGGGGAUCAAUCCCGGGUCAUGCUCCGGCCUUGAACCGCAAUAGGGAGAGUGGCCACGCCCUGCUCUAUGCCGGUUACUUUGAGAAUACCGCGCUCUUCAGACCACAUCAAUUCUGCCGCUGCUUCCGUAUGAGGAGGCAUGUGUUCAAUCGUAUUGGGGAGGGAGUGGUCGGAUAUGACCCACACUUUGAGUGCAAAGAGGAUGCCCUUGGCAAGAUUGGCUUCUCCUCUUACCAGAAAUGCACUACGGCUAUUCACAUGCUUACAUAUGGAAUUCUAGGCGAUCUUGUGGAUGAGUAUGUGCGUACGAGUGAGUCCACAUGUCUCCUAUCAAUGUACAAUUUCUGCAAGGCCGUGGUGGCAGUGUUUGGCCUUGAGUACAUGAGAGAGCCAAUUGCCAUCGAUACAGAACUGUUGUUGACGAUCAAUGCAUAUAGGGGCUUUCCGGGCAUGCUUGGCAGCAUAGAUUGUAUGCACUGAAAGUGGAAGAGCUGUCCAUUUGCUUGGCAAGGGCAGUACAUGGGGCAUGUGAAAGGUACCACUGUCAUACUAGAAGCGGUGGCUUCACACGAUCUUUGGAUAUGGCAUUCUUUCUUCGGCAUGGCUGGUUCUCACAAUGAUAUCAAUGUGCUUCAGCGUUCUCCAGUGUUCGCAAGGCUUGCAGAAGGCCACUCCCCAGAGGUCAACUUUGAGAUCAGUGGCCACCAUUCAUGGUUUUUGAGUCGCGACUAGUCAAGUCGCCGCCAGCCCUACGGCUCGGCGAUUAGUCGACCCAAGUCGCUGUAUAGUCGCGAGUCGCCCUGAUUUCUAGAAAACGACUUGGCGAUUAGUCGGCGACUAUACAGCGACUCAAAAACCAUGCCACCAUUACAACAAGGGAUACUACCUAGCUGAUGGUAUCUAUCCUCAGUGGUCAACUCUUGUGAAGACAAUACCCAAUCCGCAAGGAGAGAAGAGAUAGAGAUUUGCCCAAAUGCAAGAGAGUGCUAGGAAGGAUGUGGAGCGUGCUUUUGGCAUGCUUCAAUCUUGAUGGGUAUCGUUCGAAACCAUGCACUGACAUGGAGCACCAAGAAGCUUUGGGAGAUGAUGACUGCUUGUGUGAUCGUGGAGGAUGAGCAUGAUGACAUCAUCUAUGAUCAAGGGUUUGAUUUUCAGGGUGUAAAUGUUGAGCCUGAGCACCAAGAACGACUGCUUGUGUGAUCGUGGAGGAUGAGCGUGAUGACAUCAUCUAUGGUCAAGGGUUUGAUUUCCAGGGUGUAAAUGUUGAGCCUGAGCACCAAGAACCGGCAACGUUUGAAUAGUUUGCCCAAUUCCAUCGUGAAAUGCGUGGUUGGCAUACUCACAUGCAGCUCCAAGAUGACUUGGUUGAGCACAUGUGGAAUCACAUUGGCAACCAAUAGAUGCAUCGGUUCAUUUUCUUUCCAUCUAUUGAAGACAAUUUCGACUGGGUUAUAAAACCAUUUGAUUGUGUUUUUUUGGAUGUGGAACUAUUUGUUUGUAAGACUAUUUGCAAUGUUUGAUUUAUUUGGUUGUGAAACUAUUUUUACAAUGUGCAUAGUUAAAAUGUCAAUAUAGGGGCUCCAGCCGGCCGUGCCGGACCAGAUGCGACAGCGCGUUGGGAGCACGGCCAACGCAUCCAGGAAAACGGCUGGACGCUGCCCCAUCGCCCUACCCAAACGGACAAAAUCCAGACUAAACAGGCGUCCGUUUGGGGUCGACGGUUGGAGUUGGCCUAAUACCCUACGUCCUGCUUUGUUUUUGUAUUCAUGGUGGGAUACAUCGUGCGAGGGUUAUAAUGGGGGAUGGAGUAUGAGUCUAGCGAGAGUAUGGUUCUACGGAUGUAGAUGGGCCUUGCUACCCCCAACCCCUACCUUAUAUAGAUGACAGGGGAUAGGGUUUUACAGGAGAUCGAUCUGAUCUAAGCCGCUGCCACCUUGACUUGCUCGCCAAGGUGGUCUUUUUGCCGCCUCUCCGGGCUUCCAGGGCCCCUCCUGUGGGCCCCAAGACGGGCCUGCUGCCGGGCUCCCCACCGAGCGGCCACCCCCGUAUUACACCGUCAGUAAUAGAUUUGUUGGUGUGUUCUAUCAGUAGUUGCUGAGAUUUGCUAAAUGUCUGCUGUCAUGCACUUUACUUGCUGCAGUACUAUUGAUGGUUUCCAUUUCCUCCAAAUCUUACCUAGCACUAUGUAGCAGCUGCUAAUUAUAUACAUGUCCUUUCUGGUAACAUAGUAAUAUGAAAUUUGAGAGCAUCUAUCUUCCUGCACAGGUGGACGCAAUUAGAACGAGGUUUGAGAGUAACAUCAAAGAUUUGUAUAUUUUGCAUUCGAAGUCUUCAAAGUAUGAGGAGCUUGGUCUUUCUCGCUUCUGGGGGUAUCUGAACUACAAUGAGUAUCACUCUUUGAAAAUCACCAAGGAUGUGGGCUGCUUCUACUUCUGACAUGACAAUGUGAAAAGAGGUGCAUCCAUUUAUCUUGCAAUUUCCGGAACUAGUUCACCUUUUGCAUCCCUACAUGACAAAAGUUAGUGAGUGUGAUUGUGUGCUAGUUGUGAGGUCUCUUUGCUUGCAUUUGCAAGCAGAAAGAAGAAGCAGAACGUGGGGGGAGGCUUCUUCAUUCAGAGAUACAUAUUGUUAAGAUCAGCAGUUCUUGUAUAUUCCUUUCACUAAAGAGAUUGGAGCUGUGUUAUUGAUUAAUUUAUGGAGCUUUUAUACUUGAAGAUGGAAUGCUCGGUUGGGAAGUUAUAAUGUUGGAAAUUCAUUUCAAAAUUUUCAGUGAAAAGGGGAAGUUACAUGACUUGAAAACUCUGGCAAUAUUGUGGGUUUACUUGGACAAUGAAGGUCCUUGCCUGCCCUCUGGCCUCCUGCCAUUGACGGUGCAUCCAAAGUGCGGGCAUCCAGGCAUAGUGAUGCCGUACCUGGUAUUUGAUGUCCUGACUCCUGACCUUACUGGGGCCUCCUUGUUGCCCUCUCAGCAAUUGCAACAAGAUCACCACUAACUGGGCGACAGGACAGAUUGGUUAUGGG
This 39944-nucleotide long non-coding RNA is filed under the name Triticum aestivum (bread wheat). Its description in RNAcentral is "long non-coding RNA (TAES_LNC024513)". The record is from RNAcentral. Lineage: Eukaryota; Viridiplantae; Streptophyta; Magnoliopsida; Poales; Poaceae.